RNAcentral lists this long non-coding RNA (2398 nucleotides) under Equus caballus (horse). Its description in RNAcentral is "lncRNA (ENSECAG00000045536.1)". The record is from RNAcentral. Lineage: Eukaryota; Metazoa; Chordata; Mammalia; Perissodactyla; Equidae.
CCGCUGGUUAUAAUAAACUCAGAGUGGCCAUCAGCCCUCUCUGUAUCUAUCCUGACGUGUACAUUGGAUUGCGACACCGACAAAAGGGACUUUGCUGUUAUGAUUAAGCUAAGGAUCUUGAGGUAGAAAGAUUAUCCUGGAUGAACCAAGUGGGCCCAAUAUAAUCAUGUGUCCUUGUAAGAGGGAAGCGAGAGGGACAAAGGUGGAAGAAGGAGGCAGACAACGGGAGCAGAGGAUGGAAGAUGCUCUUUGAAGAUGGAGUAAGGCGUUAUGAGCCAACAAAUGUGGGAGACCACCAGAAGCUGGAAAUUACAAGGAAACAGAUUUUCCCCUGAAGCCUCCAGAAGGAACACAGGCCUGACAACACCUUGAUUGUAGACUUCUGACCUCUAAAACUAUGUGGCUUGGCAGGUGGAAGUUCAAUAGCAGCCAUGAUUCUGGAUGGACCUGGGGACAGUCACAGUGCUGUUCAUCUGCAGAGGCGUCCAGCGGAUCCUGCUCUCUGAUAGCUUGUGUUCCCAGCUGAGGGCUGAGCUGAACACAGCUGCUGCAGGCCCACGAACAGCUGCUUGGCAAUGGUUUCACAGAGGUGGCAGCUUCUUAUGUGAAGAACCAUUGCUAAAAAGGAUCAUGCACAUAUUUUUUGGCCCUGAAACGCCAUUGAUUGCAAUAAUAAGACAUACUGGGAAUUUGUCAUAUAUCAGAUACUUUACAAAGCUGUUUAUAUAUGUUAUCUCAUAGAAUACUGCCAGCAACUUCAAAAGGCAGGAACUGUCGUCCUCUUUAUACAGAUUUCCAACUCAAGUCCCAGCACUUACAUUCAUCUUGAAAACGUCAAUUCUCUAUCAGCAUGACCUCUCGCCAGAGCACUAAGAAUGGAGAGCUACUGCUAAACGGUAACUGAUAUUUUUCUGUAAUAGGACAUUGGUGGAAAAACGCAUUACUCAAGAUCAAGAAAAUUAAAAUGACUUCAAAUCCUAAGUGACCUGCAGUUGUAAAAUUGGACUGGAUUGCUUUUUGCAAACUUUAAGAGCAUAGCCCUGAUUCACUUCAAAAAUGCUCAGUUAAAACAUAUUUUGACUAACUGGAUGUUUUCUGCUCUUUCCUUGCACCUAUGAGAAAACCAGAUUGGCUUGCCUUUAGCUUGGCAAGAAGAAUACAUAAGAAAUAAUUUUUUCUUAGAGUUAUGAAAAGCAAAUCUCCAGUUAUAGAUGGAAAAGCACUAGGGAUGUAAUAUACAAUAGCUAACACUGCUGUAUAACAUACAGAAAAGUUGUUAAAUGAAUAAUUCUGAGUUCUCAUCACAAGGAGAAAUUUUUUUUCCCUUUUACCUUUUCUUCUUUCUUUUCUUUUUGUUGUAGCUAUUUGAGAAGAUGGAUAUUAGCUGAACCUACUGUGGUAAUCAUUUCACAAUAAAUGUAACUCAAACCAUCAUGCUAUAUGCCUUAAACUUAGACAGUGAUGUAUGUCAAUUAUUUUUCAAUAAAACUGGAAAAAAAAAGUUAAAAAGAUCAAAGAAGAAUGCCCAGAAAAUAAAACUUUUGUAAAUGUUCAGGCAGCAAGACGAAUAUACUACCUACCCAAGUUCAAAAUAGUUUUCCUAGUUCUUACCAUUGGGGCCAAAUUUCCAAGACCACAGAUUUUUGUUGCCAAUCACAAUUUCAACUUGGAAGGCGGUGGGCUUUCAAUUCGCCAGUUAUAUUAGUUUCUGCUGGGCACUCAGACUUUAAUAAGUCUCGUGAGUUUAUGUACAUAAUUUAUGACUUAAGCACUCAGAUCUGGAUGAGGGGAGAUAAACUCUACCUGAAGAAUUUAUUUGGGUAUUGUCCUGUGAACCUUAUAGGAGGAAGACAAAAAAACCUACAUUUGGGAUUUUAAGGUUCAGUGAGACAAUCUUUCUAUAAAUUAACUCUCCCGGACUUUGAGAUGCCAACAUUUCACCAUUGGAGCUUCACUCGGUCAUGAGAUGAGUAUGUCUCCUGUCUAAAUUUAAACACUCCUGAAGUGAAUAGCAUGUUAAAUACAUCAAUUCCUUUCUAAGCCUGUACAUCAAGAGUAGACUGUAAAAGAAUGAAGGACACUGGGCAGUACAGGGCCUCAGCGCUCCUGUGGACAGGCUAGCUCGAGUGACACGCUCGGGUCCACCAGGAGCAUUAGGGAGGUAUUUUGUACCUUUGGCCAGAAAUGAGGAAAAAAAAAACAAAAACAAAACAGUGAGCUGGUUACAGAAGAGGAAGGUGAUGGAAUCAGAGACUUAUUUCUCCUACAGGCCUCCUUGCUAUUUUCAGGUUGCAAAGCUGGUACUUGAAACAGAAUCGAUUUAUUCCUCAGUAAUACUCUGUUAUUGUGAGACAAUAAGUUGUUGAACCCAGUUGACAAUUGAAAAAUAAAUGACUCA